This 506-nucleotide ribosomal RNA is filed under the name uncultured bacterium. RNAcentral describes it as "partial 16S ribosomal RNA". It matches the Rfam family "Bacterial small subunit ribosomal RNA", at positions 29 to 523 of the family's 1533-position model. The record is from RNAcentral.
AGUGAACGCUGGCGGUAGGCCUAACACACGCAAGUCGAACGGCAGCACAGGAGAGCUUGCUCUCUGGGUGGCGAGUGGCGGACGGGUGAGGAAUACAUCGGAAUCUACUCUGUCGUGGGGGAUAACGUAGGGAAACUUACGCUAAUACCGCAUCCGAACUACGGGUGAAAGCAGGGGACCUUGGGGCCUUGCGCGAUUGAAUGAGCCGAUGUCGGAUUAGCUAGUUGGCGGGGUAAAGGCCCACCAAGGCGACGAUCCGUAGCUGGUCUGAGAGGAUGAUCAGCCACACUGGAACUGAGACACGGUCCAGACUCCUACGGGAGGCAGCAGUGGGGAAUAUUGGACAAUGGGCGCAAGCCUGAUCCAGCCAUACCGCGUGGGUGAAGAAGGCCUUCGGGUUGUAAAGCCCUUUUGUUGGGAAAGAAAUCCAGCUGGCUAAUACCCGGUUGGGAUGACGGUACCCAAAGAAUAAGCACCGGCUAACUUCGUGCCAGCCGCCGCCGUAA